GACGAACGCUGGCGGCGUGCCUAAUACAUGCAAGUAGAACGCACAGUUUAUACCGUAGCUUGCUACACCAUAGACUGUGAGUUGCGAACGGGUGAGUAACGCGUAGGUAACCUGCCUGGUAGCGGGGGAUAACUAUUGGAAACGAUAGCUAAUACCGCAUAAUAUUGAUUAUUGCAUGAUAAUUGAUUGAAAGAUGCUAUUGCAUCACUACCAGAUGGACCUGCGUUGUAUUAGCUAGUAGGUGAGGUAACGGCUCACCUAGGCGACGAUACAUAGCCGACCUGAGAGGGUGAUCGGCCACACUGGGACUGAGACACGGCCCAGACUCCUUCGGGAGGCAGCAGUAGGGAAUCUUCGGCAAUGGGCGAAAGUCUGACCGAGCAACGCCGCGGGAGUGAAGAAGGUUGUCGGAUCGUAAAGCUCUGUUGUAAGAGAAGAACGGGUGUGAGAGUGGAAAGUUCACACUGUGACGGUAUCUUACCAGAAAGGGACGGCUAACUACGUG
Molecule: ribosomal RNA, 505 nt
Filed under: uncultured bacterium
Lineage: Bacteria
Description: partial 16S ribosomal RNA
Rfam family: Bacterial small subunit ribosomal RNA
Source: RNAcentral